Molecule: long non-coding RNA, 4765 nt
Organism: Quercus lobata
Lineage: Eukaryota; Viridiplantae; Streptophyta; Magnoliopsida; Fagales; Fagaceae
Exons: 10
Source: RefSeq, a predicted model, not a curated record
UUCCAAGAAUGUUUAGUUUGGUUUGUUUCUAGUUAUGAGCGUAGUUAUUGUUCAUCCUCCUUUGUAAUAGCAGCAAGUUUUAAAAUUAUUAUAAUAAAAUUUGUGUGUUUGGUUUGCAGAGCACUAUUUUUUGUACUUUCUUCCUAACGGGUAAUUAAGAUUAUUUUGAAUGGGGCUAUCCGUUACCUGCAGGAAUACCAGAAGCUUCUGACUGCACAACAGAACACCUGAAUUCAGCUCUCGGCUUGACUGGGUUUGAUUUUGUAGUUGGUAGUUUUUCUUCCACUGUUUUGGCUAUGGCUUGAUUGGUUAUAUUCAAUAAAAUUCUCUCUCUUGUCUCAAAAAAAAGUUUAUUAACUUAAAAGAACCUACAGCUAAGGGAAAUGUGAAAAGUACUAAUUUUUUUUAAAUGGUACCAAAAGAUUGAGAUUUAAAGUUUAAAAUUUUUGUUAGGGGAAUUAGAGGUAUUCACAGUGUUGUAUUGCGUUGCAUCACUUGCUGGAUCUAAAUCUGGAUAUAAAUUUUGGGCUUUUUGUGUGGUGGUAAAUACAUUUUUGCUUAAAAACAUUAUGGACAAGUAUAAUUCUUUCACAAAGAAUGAGAACGCAGAAAUUUGAAGCUUAUCUUAAUGGGUUGGAGGGUGAGGUUGUGCCGUCGUGGGUGAUCCAUUGGGUAUGUAGGUGCAGGCAGUGAGGCUGAAGCAGCAAAGAUUGCGCGCUUGGUGGCAUCUUCUUCACUUGUUUUGUUAAGCAGGGUGCUGUAUAAAGGCAGAGAUCCAAAUUGGAAGCGCAUUGCUGCUGCUGCAGGUUAUGCAGGGAUUUCUUUCCACCAGAACAAGCUUCGAAUAUUGCUAGGAGACAUUCUGCUCAUGGAUGCUGGGGAACCACAACCGUUUGACCUGUAAUUCUAAGUCUUGACUUUUUAGAUAAAACCAAGAAUUAGUUCAUUCAAAAGAGCUGCAGCAAGUAACUAUCUAAGGAAGGCUGGUGAAACCCACAAUACAGUUGAAAUUCUUAUAUCAGUUGGUAAGCUUCUGAAGUACGCAUGAAGCGUCAAUAUGCUACUUUUGCUCUCUAUUGACAGUGAAUUCAAAAACCAAGUCUACUAAUAUUAGCUAGCUAAGGGAUCACACUCGCUUAGAGGGUGGGAUCGACAUAAUUUUGUAAAAAAUACCACCAAAAAAAAAUAUAUCUGCAAUUCGGCCUGCUAACUUUUCUUUGCACAAUGAAUACUAGUAUUAGUAUAGUAUGUUAGUCCAUAAACUAAAUCCAAACAGUUCAGUUAGGCUUACAUCCCUGCUUAUGCUGCAGAUUUGCUUGGUUGUUGAAGGGCUAGGAUAAAUGAAUUCUCUUCUAAAACAAUUUAAAUAGCUACUUCACUUUUUCGAAAACAAUGUGUUAUCUCUUAAAGUGAACAAGUCCGCUAGCUGAAUUUAGUAUUGCUUAUUGGGCUGCCAUCUUCAAAAAUUGAGAUUUACUCUAGUAUGUGGUUGACAACUCACGUUUCGUUACCCAACAGUUGAUGGCUCCAAAAGAAUAAAACAUUCUCACCAGCUGGUCUUGUUUUGAUGAGGUUAACUUUCCUAGUCUUGUGGCAUUGCAUUUGUCUUGCCUCAUAUCUUCUUCCAAACAGGUGAUGGCUUGGGAAGCAGGCAAGCAUGUGGAUGCGAUUUAAGUUGUGACUAUGUCAAAAUAAAUGCAGAAUACAUAACAUAGAAGAAUUCGUGUUGUGUCAUCUCAUAUUUCUUCUCACUUCACAGGAUUUUUAAACAAUAAAGCCCACUUAUAUCACAUUUUGCUUCUUGGAUUAAUAUUUUAUCAUUGUUGUAUCUUACCGGUGACAAGGUUAGCAUGUGUGUUUUUCAAUGAAGAUCUGCUUAUGCAAAUCAUUUUUCUGCAAUCAACACAAGCUAUUCCUUGAUGUUGGAUUGAGAAGAAUUGAUAUUCUCUACUCAAUGUUACAAAUAUAUUUCAAAGCUCAAUCCUACUAUCAUAAGAAAUAAUUAAAAGUUUAACUGGAUAUAGCAUAGAAAUCGAAUAAAGGUGUCUGCAGUUAAAAACUCCUUCCCAUGAUAUAUUACAUGAUCAGCCUAAAACAUAUUCAGUAUUCAUGUGGCAUAAAGCCAACAAAUUUGUGGUAAGUUAGCAACAGAAACAUAUUCCCCAUUCCAAACAACCCCUUAAAGCACAUUCCCACACCAAUAUUUAUCUUGAACAUGAAUCUCUACCUUGAAAAAGGAAAAGUAAUGCCUAAAUUCUAGCAGCACUCAAAGGUGUACAAUUGCAUUACAAGCUACAUCACAGAGGAGAUUCCUGGCCAAACAAGCGCAUCUCAAAAUGUUACUGUUGUGUGUCAAAAUGGAAGUUCAAGAUAAAACCGGAUCUUCCAAAUGACCUGUCUGUCACUUUCCCAGGAAAAUCCAUCGCUGUGAAUUUUCUGGUACUAUCUUUGUCCAACUCCCUUUGUUUUCCAUCAGAUUUUGUUUCAACUUAAACUAAGGCAUAGAAUCAUUUUGUGUUUAGUAGAGUAAAUUUUUUUUUUUGAUAAGUAGUAGAGUAAAAUUCUUUGUAUCUUGGACCUUGGUACUGGAUAGUGAAAGCUUAAAGAAUGAAAAUUUUAUAUCCCAUCUUAUGUCCAAAUAAAAUAGAUGGAAUUUGGUUUUUGUUUUGUUCUGUUUGUUUUACAAUUCAAAUGAAUUUGUUUUCAGAAACCAAAUUUAUUCAUUACAUUGUCAAAAAUCUUGUCAUUGGUAGAAACAUGUUUGAUGGGGCCUAAUUGUGUUGCUUGUUGUUAAUUUCAAGGUGUUACAAGUGAAUAUUUCUUAGGACUUGAAUAUUAUUAGUGUGAAUUGUUUAUAGGGUUUUGAGGUUAGUGGCUCAGAUAUUAAAUGGAGCAGCCACAUGGACAGCUACGAGUCAUUCAGGUUUGAAUUUUAAAGGGAGUGAUGGGCCAAGAUUACCUAAUGUGAUUGUUGUUUCAAGUGCUAUUCCUCAAGACAAUGUGGAGAUUUUGCAUGCAAAGUCUGCUGGAGUGCCUGUGAGUACGCACAUUAUUGUUUUUGCAAGCAAGAGUACAACAGCAAGUAUGCUGGCUUAUGUUUUGAAAGCAAUGGGCGAUGAUCUUACAGCAGUAAUUGGAGCACGUGUGCCACAGUUAUCCACUUUACUUUGAACUCUGCAGUAGAGCUGAAUUUUACACAUAUAGAUGGUAUGAGUCUCGGAUUGUGAUAUGACCUUUUUCAAAGAUUAAGGCCUGGCAUCUCACCACAAUAUGGUGAGUCCCAUUACCAUUACCUACUAUAAACUCAAGCUUUCCUCCCCAAAAUGCUUCCUCAUAUCUGUAUGCUGCAACACCAAUGCUGUAUAAGAAGUUCAUGAAUGCUGCUUAUAUGAUUUUAUCUAUUCUAGAUUCUGAUUCUGGAAUUUCCUUGAAAGGGACACAACAGUCCAGAUACACGUUCUUUGCUAAAUCACAGGAGACAAGCCACUGGAUCAGAGUAUUCCAGUAGUGUGGUGUUGGCUUCAAACUUGGAGCUAUUUGAUGAGCAUUACUGAAUAACUACUUAUGGAACCUCGAGUCUUAAUGAUUUGCAUGCAUCCUCAAUUCGUCCCAACUAUCAUGGUGGCAGUGAUUACACACUGGUUGGUUAUAAUUUUAUUUCUACAUCUGUGGUUGCCCCUAAUGUAGACCCAACCUAUAGAAAGCUAAAGCACAUACAUAUUGAAGCUUCUUUGGCCUUUGGAAAAGGAUUUUCCAAAGUUGUGAUACAAAUUUUGGCAGAAAUUCCUCCAAGGAGUAGGCAGCCAUCCAAUCAUACAACAGUUUCGAGAAAAAAGGCUUCAGCUCUAGCAAUGAGUGUUCAAUCCCUCUGCCAGAAUGCCAUCCAAAUUCAGAAAUUCAUGCCUUGAUUACAUGGAUUUUCUAAAAGUGAAAUUUCUAAGAAAUAAUACAUUCAUCAAAUCUAAUUUAGUACUUGAUUAUCUGCAGUUCCGUUGGGAGUUUCCAGAGGUAGAUAUCAGUCUACAGAUUCCUGGUUUCAGAAUGUCCUCAAUUCAUUAGCAACAUUUUGAGAUGAUUGGUACAAUCUGUGCAGUUCUUCAAGCAGCACGUCAAAGGUUCCCAUUCAAGGCUAUAUGGGUGGUAUUCCAAGUUUCCAACCUCAUUUUUACAGCUUUUUUCUUUCGCAGACGUCUAGAAGAAUUGAAAGAUGAAUUUGCCACUGCACUCGGUGAUGCAGAUCAUGUUGUGGUUACAGCGUAGAGUCAUCUUGGUCCAUAAUCUUUGUCAUUUACAGUUGCUAAGGGCAACAGUUUGAGUUAUGGUGUCAGGUUUAUGCUGCCAGAGAGUGGUUUUUGGGAUGUUGGUGGAAGUGAUUUAGCUGCUUCUAUUAAUGGCACACCAUUUGAAUAUAUCUCCUCACUGGAGACUGUAGUUGAUGAGUUGGUGGUUCGGAUAUCCAAGGACCUUAAUCGCCAAAUUGUUGUUUUGACCCGACUUGCCUCUUCUACUUUGGCAAGAAAUGACUUGUGAGUCUGUGACUGACUGUCCUUGUGUGACUUCCGUUUGAUUCUUCUAUGCAAAGAUGAACUGGUGACCGGUUACGUUAUUGGUAAUGGGAGUUUCUUCUAUAUGCAUGGAUGGAUAUGGAACUAUCAAGAAGAAAGCUGAUGACACAGUGACACUGCAACUGCUAAUUGCGUUCCAUGUAAUGAAUUUGCAUUUCCAACUUGUGCUGUACUAUGUUCCCAUUUAAGGAAAACGGAAA